UACGGAGGGUGCGAGCGUUGUUCGGAAUUACUGGGCGUAAAGGGUGCGUAGGCGGCUUUUUAAGUUUGGUGUGAAAUCUCCUGGCUCAACUGGGAGGGUGCGCCGAAUACUGAGAAGCUAGAGUGUGGGAGAGGAAAGUGGAAUUCCUGGUGUAGCGGUGAAAUGCGCAGAUAUCAGGAGGAACACCGAUGGCGAAGGCAGGUCUCUGGGCCACUACUGACGCUGAGAAGCGAAAGCAUGGGGAGCGAACAGG
RNAcentral lists this ribosomal RNA (253 nucleotides) under uncultured bacterium. Its description in RNAcentral is "partial 16S ribosomal RNA". It matches the Rfam family "Bacterial small subunit ribosomal RNA", at positions 524 to 776 of the family's 1533-position model. The record is from RNAcentral.